UGUUGUUCCUCAGCUGAAGCGAGCUUGUGAACAGCAACUUGAGCAUGGCUUGCUUACUAUAGAAAAUGUAGUUGAUGCCUUCCAGCUUUCAUUACUGUGUGAUGCGCCUCGACUAACGCUGAUCACUCACCGUAUGAUCAUAAUGACCUGCAAGGCCGUUCGCGAAACUGAAGGGUGGAAAGCAAUGAAGAAGAGCAAUCCAGCACUUGAAAAAGAACUUCUUGAAUCCAUGAUGGAUGAAGAACAUGGGAGGGAUAUCAUGGUAAGGCUGCUUCACCUUGUAACCUUGGGUUCUAGCAGUUUGACCUAAAUCUCUAAAUGCAAAUUUUGCAGAUGCAAAAGGAGAAAAACAGGAAAUCAAAUGAGCAGAGGAUCUACCUUCAAUUAUGUGAAGCAAUGGAGGCUCUUGUUCACAUAUUCAGAGAUGGUUGCAGGACAAUUGGACCACAUGAUAAGGAUUUGAAAGAACACCAAACACCAUGCGAUUAUGGAGACUGUUGCAAAGGGUUAGAAUUG
This 516-nucleotide long non-coding RNA is filed under the name Gossypium barbadense (sea-island cotton). Its description in RNAcentral is "long non-coding RNA (GBAR_LNC010450)". Lineage: Eukaryota; Viridiplantae; Streptophyta; Magnoliopsida; Malvales; Malvaceae. The record is from RNAcentral.